Molecule: non-coding RNA, 1507 nt
Organism: Danio rerio (zebrafish)
Lineage: Eukaryota; Metazoa; Chordata; Actinopteri; Cypriniformes; Danionidae
Source: RefSeq, a predicted model, not a curated record
GUGUGUGUGUGUGUGUGUGUGUGUGUGUGUGUGUGUGUGUGUGUGUGUGUGUUUGUUUUUAUUACAUGGUGGGGACCUCAGCAUGAUAGCACACUCACAAAGUGGGGACCAAAAACAUAGUGGGGACCGAUCGCCCGGUCCCCACUAUGUUUUGCCUUUAAAAGACUCAGGGGGCGUUGCUGAUAUGCCUAGUGCAGUUUUUUUCACUGAUCCCCACCUUGACCAUUUACCUGAAUUGAGUGUGUAAGUGUGUGUCGGCGCACUGCUCUAUAGCGGUCCUGUAGUCGGAUGGCGGUACUGCACCCUGACACACACUUGACGCAGUUCACACACUCUGCCUACUGCACAUGCGCAAUCUCAUAAAUGAAUCCGACUUUAAUCAACUUAAUUAAGAUCUAUCAUCAAAUUUUUCGAAUUUUUGGGUAAGUUAGAAUGUUUUUCACCAUCAUACUGUAAUAAAAUAGGUUAUAUGACAAAUACUUAUGUUGCAUAUUUUGACAGUUAUCAGGUAUAGUUAAUUAAAUGUUUUAACGAAUUUCCUGGGUGUUUUAAUCGAUGUUGUUUCAAAUUACGUAUUAAUACAACACUGAUAAGACACAAACUACAGUUCGGUAUGUAAUUUAACUUGUUUACACGAGUAAAAGUUUCUCGCGCUAAUGUGCUAACGUGCUAACUGCCCGGUGCUACGUGAGUCAGAGGCCGGGGUGGAGUGCAUGAGCCGCGGUCAGACAGUCACCAAUCACCGGGCGGCUAAAUGGAUCGACGGAGGAUAAAACCAUUAAAAGAUGCGGAGAAACACAUCACCAGCUCCACUGACAAGACCCAUUCACUGGAAACCGAAUAUAUAGAAGGUUACUAAGUUUUGCAGCAUUGAUGCCGAUCAUGAGGACGAUCUGCACCCUAACUGCACUGUCAAUAAGAUCGUUGUUCAGAGAAAACCUCAUUUGUGCCUUUUUGCAAUCAGGGAUAUUUUCUUUGGAGAGGAAAUAACGUUUGACUAUGGCACAUGUGAUUGGCCUUGGAGAAAGCUUUCAUUGAAGGAUGCCCAUAUGACUGCAGAAGAGAACUGCUCCGACAACUCUCUGAUGAGCUUUCAUUGAAGUAUGAUCAUAUGACGAGAAGAAGAGAACUGCUCUGCUCCAGUAGGAGACCCACAACCCUCUGAUGAGGUUUGCUGAAGUAUGACCGUAUGACAGAAGGAGAGAACAGCUCUGCUCCAGUACGAGACCCACAACUCUGAUGAGAGAAAGUUACAGUGGAUCUUGAUUUUGGAGGAGGUGAAGUCCAAUCUAAAAGAGUCCACUCAAGUAUCAUCACCAUGGUACAGUGUCUGUGAAGAUAGUGAUGCAGACCCAGCAUUCACAAAAAAAGAGAGGUCCCAUAAAGAGAAGAUCCUGGAGCAAACAGGAAGUACAUGCUGUGGUGAAAGCUGAACCAUUGGCUCUAAAAACCAGAGAUUGGUCAGCUUUGGAUUUUUAUAUUAAAAACUGAAUCUCGACUCUUUAGA